CUCCUUAAUGCCUUGCCAGCUGGAAGGAAAAGAGCCUCUUGCAUUGCCCACAAAGGAAGCAGAGAUUGAGGGGAGAAGAACUGGAGAAAUUAAAAAAGUGGAAAGAGACAGCAACACAAAUAAAGAGGUUGAGUACCAGUAGAAACCUCAUAUUUACCUGGAAGAUUACUUUUAGGAAGCUUGAAGAAUUCUCUCUUCCAACUUGGUUGGAUUUCCUGUAAGAUUUUAAAUGAAGAAAGUCUUCUACUGCUGUAUAAAGAAAAAAAAAAGAAGAAGAAAGGGAUGGAUCUCACUAUGUUGCCAAGGCUGGCUCGAGAACUCCUGGGCUCAACCAAUCCUCCUGCCUCAGCCUCCCAAAUAGCUGGGACUACAGAAUGGACUUUUCAUCCAUGUGGCUGUGAUCAGUUCCUAAAGCAGAGGAAUCUGCAGCCUAAUGACACAUCAGGAAUUGAUGGAACCCCAGCAGACAGCUUCUAUGAGGUGUGUGGGUGGCGGAUGUGAAAUCAAUAAAAAAAAAAAAAAGAAUAAUUUUUUUUGUUGUUUUUGUUCACUGUCAUGUACAUUAAAGCAUGUAGGCCUCUUCCAGUGUAUAUGUGUAACUUUCACAGUAAAACCUGGAUGAAAAAUCAAUAGAAAUUUAGAAUCUUUCUUCAUAGGAACUGUAUGAUUACUUUGGCAGGAGGAAAAAUAAACAUGUGAAAACAACCUCAAGUCAAUAAAAUGUAUGAUCAGUAACAUAUGAUGAGUAUAUAAGUUAUAGCAUGGGUAAUGUUGAUUCUAGCUAAUUACCUUUGAAAUUGAGGCAGGGCAAAACCAAUUAUGAGCUAGAGUUCAUAAGUAACUCCAAGAACUCCAAGUUGAAAAUCUCAAGGAGAGAGGAUUGCACAUUGGUAGUCCUGUGGAAUAGAGAAGAGAGAAGUCAUUCCAGGCAGAGGAAUGACAGGCAGAGGGGAAUUUUGGGUAACUAGACUGGGCUCAUUCUAAGUGAGCAGCACAUGCAGUUACAAAGACAUCAACACUCUUGUGUCUCCUGCUGCAGAGGUCUUGAUGCUGUGAAUGAUGACUAAUAUAUCUUUGGGUCUCCGAAGUGACUGAUUUAAUUCUAUCAUUUUUGGAGGCAAGGCUUUAUUAUAAGCUACACGAAUAACUUCAAAAAAGGAUUAAAUUAACUGUGCAUUAUUUACUGCAAGUGCAUUUCUCUGGUAUAAAUCUGUCUUAUUUAUGCAUUAGGAUGAGAAAACAGUUUAUUGCCAUUAUAUAUUGUUUAGGGCUGAAGGUUACAAUCUGUCACAAUAUCUCUUCAAAUCCAAAUUCUGGCUAAUUAAUUCUUUUUAUGAUAAAUUUUAUUUUAUGCUUCAAUUAUAUUUUAUUUUAUAAAAUAUUAAUGUAAUAAAUGAAUAUAAUAA
This 1406-nucleotide long non-coding RNA is filed under the name Homo sapiens (human). Its description in RNAcentral is "non-protein coding lnc-FAM172A-3:2". Lineage: Eukaryota; Metazoa; Chordata; Mammalia; Primates; Hominidae. The record is from RNAcentral.